UCAGGCCUAACACAUGCAAGUCGAACGAAGUAGCAAUACUUAGUGGCAGACGGGUGAGUAACAUGUAGGUAUCUACCCUUUGGCCUGGAAUAACACGAGGAAACUUGUGCUAAUACCGGAUAAGUCUUUACGGAGAAAGCUUUAUGCACCAUUGGAUGAGCCUGCACUUGAUUAGUUUGUUGGUGGGGUAAUGGCCUACCAAGACUGUGAUCAAUAGCUGAUUUGAGAGGAUGAUCAGCCACAUUGGGACUGAGACACGGCCCAAACUCCUACGGGAGGCAGCAGUGGGGAAUCUUGCACAAUGGAGGAAACUCUGAUGCAGCGAUGCCGCGUGAGUGAAGAAGGCCUUUGGGUUGUAAAGCUCUUUCGUCGGGGAAGAAAAUGACUGUACCCGAAUAAGAAGGUCCGGCUAACUUCGUGCCAGCAGCCGCGGUAAUACGAAGGGACCUAGCGUAGUUCGGAAUUACUGGGCUUAAAGAGUUCGUAGGUGGUUGAAAAAGUUAGUGGUGAAAUCCCAGAGCUUAACUCUGGAACUGCCAUUAAAACUUUUCAGCUAGAGUAUGAUAGAGGAAAGCAGAAUUUCUAGUGUAGAGGUGAAAUUCGUAGAUAUUAGAAAGAAUACCAAUUGCGAAGGCAGCUUUCUGGAUCAUUACUGACACUGAGGAACGAAAGCAUGGGUAGCGAAGAGGAUUAGAUACCC
RNAcentral lists this ribosomal RNA (700 nucleotides) under uncultured bacterium. RNAcentral describes it as "bacterial SSU rRNA". It matches the Rfam family "Bacterial small subunit ribosomal RNA", at positions 42 to 787 of the family's 1533-position model. The record is from RNAcentral.